ACGUAGGCAGCAAGCGUUGUUCGGAAUUACUGGGCGUAAAGAGUUCGUAGGCGGUGUGCCAAGUUUAGUGUGAAAUCUCCCGGCUCAACUGGGAGGGUGCGCUGAAUACUGGCAUGCUAGAGUAUAGGAGAGGUAAGCGGAAUUCCUGGUGUAGCGGUGAAAUGCGUAGAUAUCAGGAGGAACACCUGUGGUGUAGACGGCUUACUGGACUAUAACUGACGCUGAGGAACGAAAGCGUGGGUAGCAAACAGGAUUAGAUACCCUGGUAGUCCACGCCCUAAACGAUGCAUACUUGGUGUGAGCCAUUCACUUGGUUCGUGCCGUAGCUAACGCGUUAAGUAUGCCGCCUGGGGAGUACGGUCGCAAGGCUG
This 371-nucleotide ribosomal RNA is filed under the name uncultured bacterium. RNAcentral describes it as "bacterial SSU rRNA". It matches the Rfam family "Bacterial small subunit ribosomal RNA", at positions 525 to 896 of the family's 1533-position model. The record is from RNAcentral.